RNAcentral lists this long non-coding RNA (1893 nucleotides) under Numida meleagris (helmeted guineafowl). RNAcentral describes it as "lncRNA (ENSNMEG00000001203.1)". The record is from RNAcentral. Lineage: Eukaryota; Metazoa; Chordata; Aves; Galliformes; Numididae.
GGCACGUGGGUGGCUCGGGGAUGGGGGGGGCACUUGUGUGAUAAGGGGAUGGGGGGUGAGCCUGGGACAAGGGGACAAUGGUGGCACAUGAGUGGCACGGGGAUGGGGGUGGCACUUUGGUGACAAGGGGACAAUGGUGGCACAUGGGGGUGGCACCUCUGGGACAAGGGGACAAUGGUGGCACGUGGGUGGCACGGGGAUGGGGGUGGCACCUCUGCGAUGAGGGGAUGGGGGGGUGAGUUGCGGACAUGGGGACAAUGGUGGCACGUGGGUGGCUCGGAGAUGGGGGUGGCACUUUUGUGACAAGGGGACAACGGUGGCACAUGGGGGUGGCACCUCUGGGACAAGGGGACAAUGGUGGCACGUGGGUGGCACGGGGAUGGGGGUGGCACCUCUGGGAUGAGGGGAUGGGGGGGUGAGUUGGGGACAUGGGGACAAUGGUGGCACGUGGGUGGCACGGGGAUGGAGGGGGCACUUUUGUGACAAGGGGACAACGGUGGCACAUGGGGGUGGCACCUCUGGGACAAGGGGACAAUGGUGGCACGUGGGUGGCACGGGGAUGGAGGUGACACUUGCGUGACAAGGGGACAAUGGUGGCUCAUGGAUGGCACGGGGAUGGGGGUGGACAUGGCGAUGAUGGUGAUGGUGAUGAUAGUGAUGAUGGUGAUGGUGGUGAUGGUGGCGAUGAUGGUGAUGGUGCUGGUGUUGGUGGUGGUGUUGAUGGUGCUGGUGUUGGUGAUGAUGGUGAUGGUGAUGAUGGUGGUACUGGUGAUGUUGAUGAUGGUGGUGGUGUUGGUGACGAUGAUGGUGCUGGUAUUGGGGAUGAUGAUGAUGAUGCUGGUGAUGAUGGUGCUGGUGCUGGUGAUGUUGAUGAUGGUGGUGGUGCUGAUAGUGGUGGUGUUGAUGGUGGUGGUGUUGGUGAUGACAAUGGUGGUGCUGGUGUUGGUGAUGAUGAUGAUGAUGACGGUGAUGAUGGUGAUGAUGGUGCUGGUGUUGGUGGUGAUGAUGAUGAUGAUGGUGUUGGUGAUGAUGAUGGUGAUGAUGGUGAUGAUGGUGCUGGUGUUGGUGAUGAUGAUGAUGGUGGUGCUGGUGUUGGUGAUGGUGGUGGUGCUGGUGUUGAUGACUGUGUUGGCGAUGGUGAUGAUGAUGGUGAUGGUGGUGCUGGUGUUGAUGGUGAUGAUGAUGGUGGUGAUGAUGAUGAUGGUGUUGGUGGUGGUGGUGAUGAUGGUGAUGGUGUUGGUGGUGGUGGUGGUGGUGGUGGUGGUGGUGAUGAUGGUGUUGGCAAUGAUGAUGAUGGUGAUGGUGAUGAUGGUGCUACUGGCAAUGUUGAUGAUGGUGGUGGUGUUGGUGAUGAUGAUGGUGAUGCUGGUGUUGGUGAUGAUGAUGAUGAUGAUGGUGACGAUGGUGCUGGUGUUGAUGAUGAUGAUGGUGCUGGUAUUGGGGAUGAUGAUGAUGAUGCUGGUGAUGAGGGUGGUGGCGCUGGUGAUGAUGAUGAUGGUGCUGGUGUUGAUGGUGCUGGUGUUGGUGAUGAUGAUGGUGCUGGUGUUGGUGAUGAUGAUGAUGGUGCAGGUGUUGGUGAUGAUGAUGGUGGUGCUGGUGUUGGGUCCUUACCGCGUCUGCACGGUGAAGCAGUUGGCUCUUCCCACCAGGCCGCUCUCCAGGCCGGGCCCGUGGGCGCUGACGCGCGUGGGAUCGCAACCCUCGGCCACGGCCACACGGAACGGGCUCUGCGGCACCGCCACCUCCUGGAACGUCACCUCCACCACGUGCAGCCCUGCACGAGGGACACGACGCGGCGUCACCGGGGAUGGGGGGCACACCAACCACCUGGGGCACGCUGGGGUCCCAAGGGGGGGAUACGGGGUCCCAAGGGGGAGAUUUGGGGUCCUAAGA